This 587-nucleotide ribosomal RNA is filed under the name uncultured bacterium. Its description in RNAcentral is "bacterial SSU rRNA". It matches the Rfam family "Bacterial small subunit ribosomal RNA", at positions 338 to 916 of the family's 1533-position model. The record is from RNAcentral.
CCUACGGGAGGCAGCAGUAGGGAAUCUUCCGCAAUGGGCGAAAGCCUGACGGAGCAACGCCGCGUGAGUGAUGAAGGCCUUCGGGUUGUAAAACUCUGUCUUCUGUGAAGAACCAUCCUGUGCAGAGAAAGCUCAGGACCUGACGGUAACAGAGGAGGAAGCCCCGGCUAACUACGUGCCAGCAGCCGCGGUAAUACGUAGGGGGCAAGCGUUGUCCGGAAUCACUGGGCGUAAAGCGCGCGCAGGCGGUCUUUCACGUCCGGGGUGAAAGCCCAGAGCUCAACUCUGGGAUUGCCUUGGAUACGGGGAGACUUGAGGAUCGGAGAGGCAAGGGGAAUUCCACGUGUAGCGGUGAAAUGCGUAGAGAUGUGGAGGAACACCUGUGGCGAAGGCGCCUUGCUGGCCGAUUUCUGACGCUGAGGCGCGAAAGCGUGGGGAGCAAACAGGAUUAGAUACCCUGGUAGUCCACGCCGUAAACGAUGAGUGCUAGGUGUUAGGGGGCCCGACCCCUUACGUGCCGAAGCUAACGCAUUAAGCACUCCGCCUGGGGAGUACGGUCGCAGACUGAAACUUAAAUGAAUUGACGG